Small nucleolar RNA from Octodon degus (degu), 129 nucleotides. RefSeq annotates it as small nucleolar RNA SNORA40. The record is from RefSeq and is a predicted model, not a curated record. NCBI's taxonomy places the organism in Eukaryota, Metazoa, Chordata, Mammalia, Rodentia, Octodontidae. The transcript has a single exon.
UGUGUGUGUGUGUGUGUGUGUCGGAACUCGUGGAAUACAACUUAAUGCACAUAUGCAAAGAAUAAAUCCUCCUUUGCGAUCAGCACUCACUGCUUCGUGUGAGUCUUGAUACGUGUGAGAAGGGGUGUU